Molecule: long non-coding RNA, 2120 nt
Organism: Gallus gallus (chicken)
Lineage: Eukaryota; Metazoa; Chordata; Aves; Galliformes; Phasianidae
Exons: 3
Source: RefSeq, a predicted model, not a curated record
UGGACGCAAGGCAAAUAUGCCUAUAGUGAGAUUGGCUGUUGAAAGACAGGUCAUCUGAGCUGCUCAGUGACUACAGGGAAAGAGGAAACAGUUUAAGGGCUGCUGCUUCCAGACCAGAAAGAACUUGAAGGAAUUACAGCUUGAAAAGAGAUAAAGGUGCCCUGGAAAAUACUACAAAUGCAAGGUGGGAUUCUUAGAAACACUCCAUACCAACUGUCAAACUGCAUCCAAGGACAUCUACUUGUGACUUUUUGCUUUCUGCUUGUGAUACCAUACGUCUCCUGCUUCAGAAGCUGAUAGCCAUCCAGCUCUUUCUCAGAACUCUGCUCAUGCAUCUUUCCCUUCCACAGCAUUUCUUCUGGGGGAAUUGAGUGUCUUUCAGUAGAAUCCAGGGGAGUAAAUUGAUGUCUGGGCUAUCCUGGUAAUGCUCUUGUGAAGACGAUCAUUUCCAGAGGCCAUCCAUGGAACCAGCUGCCAAGAGUGAGGCCUUCAUGAUGGGCUGGUAGGCUCAUCGGGAGCCCAGUCCCAUUGACACCUCCUGUCCUGCCAAUGCCGCACUGUGCUCCAGGAUGGGACCGCUCGCCUGGCACUCAGCUGGUCAACACACAGCUCUCUGCAAAUGUGGCCUUCCCUUGUACAGCUGCCUUGCCAUGCCCUGUGAAAAAUGGCAGUUAGUGGUAGAGACCCCCCUGGCUUCCUCAUCCUCCAUCUUCAGCCCUCCCCACCUUGUCAUCCCCUGCCUUCUCAGCCACAUCCCUCUGGCAGUGGUUUGAUGUUCUUCCUUCUAUUUGGCAAGCAGAUUUAAGCAGAUUUUCAGAGUCACAGAAUUGAAGAUUCAUUGGGUUGGAAGGGACCUCUGGAAAUCAUCGGGUCCAACCCCCUGCUAAAGCAAGUUCCCUGCAGUCGGUUACCUAGGAAAGUGUCUGUUGUGGAGUCUCCAGAGAAGGAGACACAGUACUCCAGAUGUGGCCUCACCAGGGAAGAGUAGAGGGGAGGACCUCCUGAGAGGUUUCCACGAAGGCCAGAAACCUAUGCCACCAGCAGGCACCAAGGAACUUCUCAGCAGGAUGCCAAUGGGGACAACAGGAUGUCCCUGGCAGAGGCCUAUCUGCUGAGCAGAGGGGAGGGAGUAACAAGACUGACAAACAUGGCUAUGAGGGCACUGACAGGGGCAACAGCACCUCUAGUGACAAAAAUCAGGCCAAAAAACAAACUCUUAGAAGAAUGGUGAAGGUAGAGAACAUAGUAAAUCCCACUUGGUAAGAAAGAAGAAUUCAGCAAGGACACAUCCCUCUCCCCAUCCUUCAGUUUUCACAAAGCAUCCUACAUGCUGGCUCUCCAUCACCUAGAAUCAGAGAGUCACAGAGCCACAGAAUAUCCUCAAGCUGGGAGGAACCCACAAAGACCAAUGAGUCCAACUCCCAGCUCCACACAGGACCAUCAAAAAUCAGACCAUAGGACUAAGCGUGCUGUCCAAACAUUCCUUGAACUUUGGCAGCUUGGAGCCAUGACCACUGACCUGGAGAGCCUGUUCCAUGCUCACCACCCCGUGGUGAAGAACCUUUUCUAACACCCAGCCUGACCAGCUUGGCCAUCCCCUGACACAACUCCAUGCUGUUCCCUCUGGUCCUUUCCCCAAAACAAUGGGCUCAACAUCAGGCAGAGAAUGGUGCUUAUCCAGUGGAGAUGGAAAAAGGGUUGGGCUCUCCCACACACAAUCCCCUCUUUAAUUGAUUGACCCUUAUUUGAUUGAUCCUCUUGACAUGGAGGAGAAAACAACGCAGAAUGAAAAUUAUGAAUCAGCUGUGUGUGUGUGAAUGCCAAAAGGGUGGGUUAUGGUGAUUCACCACUACAACCUAUUCCUCAGCUCUUCCGUAAUCAAUCUUUUUGUCUUUUGCAUCUUGACAAUGAGUCAUUCUUCAGCAUGCCCUUGUAGUGCUGCCAUGCUGUCUGCCAGUCUCCUGCUGCUGUUCAGUUGUGGUGCCAACAGAGCUUAAGAGAUGCUGCACCUGAUUGCCACAGGAAGACUUCAAGACAUGGAACAAAUUGCUCCAGUGAUAAUGCAGGUAAAUAACACUCCAAGAUGUGAGGGGCACAGACUUGAGAAGUAUUUUGUGCAA